UCGGGGAUCGUCUAAUGGUAGGACUGCGGAUUCUGGUUCCGCCUAUCGGGGUUCGAAUCCCUGUCCCCGAACUA
RNAcentral lists this transfer RNA (74 nucleotides) under Nannocystis exedens. RNAcentral's name for it is "tRNA_Gln_CTG". It matches the Rfam family "tRNA". Rfam says of the family: Transfer RNA (tRNA) molecules are approximately 80 nucleotides in length. Their secondary structure includes four short double-helical elements and three loops (D, anti-codon, and T loops). Further hydrogen bonds mediate the characteristic L-shaped molecular structure. tRNAs have two regions of fundamental functional importance: the anti-codon, which is responsible for specific mRNA codon recognition, and the 3' end, to which the tRNAs corresponding amino acid is attached (by aminoacyl-tRNA synthetases). tRNAs cope with the degeneracy of the genetic code in two manners: having more than one tRNA (with a specific anti-codon) for a particular amino acid; and 'wobble' base-pairing, i.e. permitting non-standard base-pairing at the 3rd anti-codon position. The record is from RNAcentral. Lineage: Bacteria; Pseudomonadati; Myxococcota; Nannocystales; Nannocystaceae.